UCUUGCAGGCCAACAAUGCAA
Molecule: small nuclear RNA, 21 nt
Filed under: Arabidopsis thaliana (thale cress)
Lineage: Eukaryota; Viridiplantae; Streptophyta; Magnoliopsida; Brassicales; Brassicaceae
Description: snRNA_06326
Source: RNAcentral